UCGUAACCAANGCUUACCGUAGGUGAAGCCUGCGAAAGGAUCAUUA
This 46-nucleotide ribosomal RNA is filed under the name Inocybe striata. RNAcentral's name for it is "partial 18S ribosomal RNA". The record is from RNAcentral. Lineage: Eukaryota; Fungi; Basidiomycota; Agaricomycetes; Agaricales; Inocybaceae.